RNAcentral lists this small nuclear RNA (100 nucleotides) under Suricata suricatta (meerkat). Its description in RNAcentral is "U2 spliceosomal RNA (ENSSSUG00005008851.1)". It matches the Rfam family "U2 spliceosomal RNA". Rfam says of the family: U2 is a small nuclear RNA (snRNA) component of the spliceosome (involved in pre-mRNA splicing). Complementary binding between U2 snRNA (in an area lying towards the 5' end but 3' to hairpin I) and the branchpoint sequence (BPS) of the intron results the bulging out of an unpaired adenosine, on the BPS, which initiates a nucleophilic attack at the intronic 5' splice site, thus starting the first of two transesterification reactions that mediate splicing. Lineage: Eukaryota; Metazoa; Chordata; Mammalia; Carnivora; Herpestidae. The record is from Rfam by way of RNAcentral.
AUCGCUUCUCGGCCUUUUGGCUAAGAUCAAGUGUAGUAUCUGUUCUUAUCAGUUUAAUUUUUUAUUACUUUUACUACUUUGUAAUGAUAUAAUAUUCCAU